Molecule: unclassified non-coding RNA, 468 nt
Filed under: Hevea brasiliensis (rubber tree)
Lineage: Eukaryota; Viridiplantae; Streptophyta; Magnoliopsida; Malpighiales; Euphorbiaceae
Source: RNAcentral
GAGAGCAGCACUGCAUGAGAAGCUUCAACUUCUUCGUUCCAUUACUAAUUCUCAUGCUGUAAAUCCCUCUAUCUUUCUGUGGCCUUUGCUUCCAUUGGUUUAAUACAUGCAGUUUCCCCAUAAUUCAUCAAUUUAUAUAUAAAGAUUUCAAUAUAUCAUUUUAUAUAAAGAUCUCUAUUUAAAGAAAACCACAAUUCUCCCUUCAAUUUCACCUCUAAAUAUCACCUUUUUUUCUUUAUUUUUCCAACAAUAAAAUUGAUUUUUUUUUUCGUUCUUGUCAUCCUUAAUUAAUUUUUUUGUUAUUCUUGUCUAAUUUCUAGCUACCGGAGGCAAAAUUAUUGCUUCAUCUAUCAUAUGAAAGCCAGAAGGAAAGGAAGUUAAGGAAUUAAAGAGGAGAAUUUAAUUUUAUGAACUUGUUCUAACAAAGGUUUGUGCAUGUAACAGCUAAACAAAACCUCAAUCAUAGUU